RNAcentral lists this ribosomal RNA (317 nucleotides) under Anelosimus decaryi. RNAcentral's name for it is "partial 16S ribosomal RNA". The record is from RNAcentral. Lineage: Eukaryota; Metazoa; Arthropoda; Arachnida; Araneae; Theridiidae.
UUUGUUUCCUAAUUAGAAACUAGAAUGAAAGGUUUAACAUUUUAAUUAUUUUAUUAAUUAUUUAUAUAAAUUUAUACUAAACAUAAAAAUAUGUUUAUGGUCUAAAAAGACGAUAAGACCCUAUUAAAUUUUACUUAAUGUUUAACUGGGGCAGUUAUUUAAUUAAUACUUUAAACACAUAAAAUAAAUACCUAAUAUAAAUAUACUAUAAUCAAAUUACUAUAGGGAUAACAGCGUUAUAUUAUUUAAAAGUUCAUAUUUAUAAUAAUGAUUGCGACCUCGAUGUUGAAUUAUAUUUCUAUUAUUAACGCAACAGU